CCUACGGGAGGCAGCAGUGAGGAAUAUUGGUCAAUGGUCGGGAGACUGAACCAGCCAAGCCGCGUGAGGGAGGAAGGUACAGAGUAUCGUAAACCUCUUUUGUCAGGGAACAAAGGCGGGGACGUGUCCCCGGAUGAGUGUACCUGAAGAAAAAGCAUCGGCUAACUCCGUGCCAGCAGCCGCGGUAAUACGGAGGAUGCGAGCGUUAUCCGGAUUUAUGGGGUUUAACGGGUGCGCAGGCGGUAUGUUAAGUCAGCGGUCAAAGCCCGGGGCUCAACCCCGGCGCGCCGUUGAAACUGGCAGUCUCGAGUUGGAGAGAAGUAUGCGGAAUGAGCGGUGUAGCGGUGAAAUGCAUAGAUAUCGCGCAGAACUCCGAUUGCGAAGGCAGCAUGCCGGCUCCACACUGACGCUGAGGCACGAAAGCGUGGGUAUCGAACAGGAUUAGAUACCCCAGUAGUC
This 459-nucleotide ribosomal RNA is filed under the name uncultured bacterium. RNAcentral's name for it is "partial 16S ribosomal RNA". It matches the Rfam family "Bacterial small subunit ribosomal RNA", at positions 338 to 795 of the family's 1533-position model. The record is from RNAcentral.